UCGAGGGGUAGAGUAAGCUUGCUUACUUGAGACCGGCGCACGGGUGCGUAACGCGUAUGCAAUCUACCUUAUACAGGGGAAUAGCCCAGAGAAAUUUGGAUUAAUGCCCCAUGGUAUUAUAGAGUGGCAUCACUUUAUAAUUAAAGUUCCAACGGUAUAAGAUGAGCAUGCGUCCCAUUAGUUAGUUGGUAAGGUAACGGCUUACCAAGACGAUGAUGGGUAGGGGUCCUGAGAGGGAGAUCCCCCACACUGGUACUGAGACACGGACCA
This 270-nucleotide ribosomal RNA is filed under the name uncultured Bacteroidota bacterium. Its description in RNAcentral is "uncultured Bacteroidetes bacterium partial 16S ribosomal RNA". It matches the Rfam family "Bacterial small subunit ribosomal RNA", at positions 62 to 333 of the family's 1533-position model. The record is from RNAcentral. Lineage: Bacteria; Pseudomonadati; Bacteroidota.